Molecule: transfer RNA, 72 nt
Filed under: bacterium
Lineage: Bacteria
Description: tRNA-Glu
Rfam family: tRNA
About the family: Transfer RNA (tRNA) molecules are approximately 80 nucleotides in length. Their secondary structure includes four short double-helical elements and three loops (D, anti-codon, and T loops).
Source: RNAcentral
GGCCCUGUCGUCUAACGGUUAGGACAACGGGUUUUCAAUCCGUUAAUCGGAGUCCGACUCUCCGCAGGGUCA